This 301-nucleotide ribosomal RNA is filed under the name uncultured bacterium. Its description in RNAcentral is "partial 16S ribosomal RNA". It matches the Rfam family "Bacterial small subunit ribosomal RNA", at positions 509 to 808 of the family's 1533-position model. The record is from RNAcentral.
CAGCAGCCACGGGAAUACGGAGGGUGCAAGCGUUAAUCGGAAUUACUGGGCGUAAAGCGCACGCAGGCGGUCUGACAAGUCAGAUGUGAAAUCCCCGGGCUUAACCUGGGAACUGCAUUUGAAACUGUCAGGCUGGAGUCUUGUAGAGGGGGGUGGAAUUCCAGGUGUAGCGGUGAAAUGCGUAGAGAUCUGGAGGAAUACCGGUGGCGAAGGCGGCCCCCUGGACAAAGACUGACGCUCAGGUGCGAAAGCGUGGGGAGCAAACAGGAUUAGAUACCCGGUAGUCCCUGUCUCUUAUACA